UAGCAUUCAGCAGUAAACAACAACAAUUGCACCUUCUCUUUUAUUAAAUUAAAGAAACACCAAAAUAUUCAUAAGAUGUCUUUAUUUUCAGGGCUCUUGAGCUGCUUUAGCAGUGUUCCUUCAAAAGUUUCUGAUGAUGCUAAUAAUAAGUCAAAAUCAUCAGAGAAAAAUGGAAAGAGCAAAAAGAAGACAAGUAAAGGUGCUCCAAUUCCGGUUUCUUAUUUCCCUAUCAACUCACAGUUUUCACGCUUAUAAAUAGCUUUCUUGAAUGGUCGACAUGAUCCAAGUUUCUAUUUCUACCUCUUGGAAGUUGGGUGUUUGAGGUUUUUAAUGAAUAUUGAAAAAGUCGAGUUGGAAGUUGAAGGAUUGGAUUCACAGAGAAAAACAAAAGAAUUUGAUUUGUACUUGUCUGAUAUUUUAGCCCUGUGGAAAAGGGGAGUUUUGAGCUUUUACAAAUGUUCUUGUAUUAGGGUACGUGGUAGCCACUACUAAUAUUUCUAUUAGGAUAGUGUGAUGACCUUAUUUUAAAAAUGAAAUUCUGCGUUUCGAGGCCUUAAAAAUCUCUUCUAGCAUCACCUCGAUUUGUGUGCGUAGUUCGGGCACGUAGCCAGAAAACCUAUAUGUAAAAAUCUAUGAAAAAUGAUAAAUUUUGAUUUCGGUCAACGUUUUGGGUAAACGGACCCGGACCCGUGAUUUGACGGUCCCCGAGGGUCCGUAGGAAAAUAUGGGACUUGGGCGUAUGCCCGGAAUCGAAUUCCGAGGUCUCAAGCCCGAGAAAUGAAUUUUUGAAGAAAAUUAUUUUCUGAAAUUGUUUAUAAGGUUUGAAAAUGAAUUUUGAUUAGAACUCGAUGGUAUCGGGCUCGUAUUUUGGUUUCGGCGUCCGGUACAGAUCUUAUAUAUGAUUUAAGAUAAUUCUGUGAAGUUUGGUAAGAAACUGAAUUCAUUUGACGUGAUUCGGACCUUAAAUGUAAAUUGAUGUUUAAAGAAGUGUAACGAUCCGACCGGUCGCUUUGAGCUUUUGCAUUUUGCCCGGCAGUUCUCGAGCAUGACUUGCCCGUAUUGUGUAUUAUGACUUAUGUAAAUCGUUGGUGUUGGGUUUCAGGUUAAUCAGAAUGAAUUUGGAAGAACAGUCUCAGUUGAAAGCUUAAAAUUUGAAAGGUUUGACCAAAAUUUGAC
This 1176-nucleotide long non-coding RNA is filed under the name Nicotiana tabacum (common tobacco). RNAcentral's name for it is "long non-coding RNA (NTAB_LNC003607)". Lineage: Eukaryota; Viridiplantae; Streptophyta; Magnoliopsida; Solanales; Solanaceae. The record is from RNAcentral.